CGGCCCGUAGCGCAGCUUGGUAGCGCGUUCCCUUGGGGUGGGAGAGGUCGCAGGUUCAAAUCCUGUCGGGCCGACCA
RNAcentral lists this transfer RNA (77 nucleotides) under Cyanobacteria bacterium HKST-UBA03. Its description in RNAcentral is "tRNA-Pro". It matches the Rfam family "tRNA". Rfam says of the family: Transfer RNA (tRNA) molecules are approximately 80 nucleotides in length. Lineage: Bacteria; Bacillati; Cyanobacteriota. RNAcentral also lists the same sequence under 2 other names. The record is from RNAcentral.